RNAcentral lists this small RNA (125 nucleotides) under Marmota monax (woodchuck). The record is from RNAcentral. Lineage: Eukaryota; Metazoa; Chordata; Mammalia; Rodentia; Sciuridae.
GCUGGGUGCACUGGCACACACCUGUAAUCCCAGCAGCUUCGGAGGCUGAGGCAGGAAGAUCGAGAGUUCAAAGCCAGCCUCAGCAAACAUGAGGCAUUAAGCAACUCAGUGAGACCCUGUCUCUA